Molecule: long non-coding RNA, 489 nt
Organism: Cyprinus carpio carpio
Lineage: Eukaryota; Metazoa; Chordata; Actinopteri; Cypriniformes; Cyprinidae
Source: Ensembl
GGAGGACUGGGUGGACAUUACAUGGGAACCAGCCAAAAUUAAACACACAUUCCAGGCAGAUGGUGUGAGCUGUGGUGUAAAUAGUGAAAAAACAUUUUUUACAUGAAAAUAUUGGACUUUCCCAUAAAGGUUGUUUUGUCUAUAUAUAUAUUACUGCUGUCACCCCAGAUGGACAAGCUUGUGGUGGAGAAAUUUCCACAAAUCCCUGAGGCUAUGAACAUAUCCCCUACCACAGACUGGAUAUGUCAUUGCCAAGAAAAAUGGCAGAAGAAAUUCUACAGGCAUCAGUGUCAAGAGAGAAAUAUUGCUCAGUAUGUGGAAAAGAAGAGCAUCACCAAGUGGAAGAGUACUGUAUAUGGGUUCAGUGCGAGAAAUACAACAGAUGGAUUCAUGAGAAAUGCCUCAAUGCUACACUUCCACAUAAAGACCAACUAUGAUUUUGUGAAUUGUGUUUAAGUUAAACUAAAUAUUCAGUUUCUCGGAGCUGUA